GGGUUGUGAGGUUAAGCGACUAAGCGUACACGGUGGAUGCCCUGGCAGUCAGAGGCGAUGAAGGACGUGCUAAUCUGCGAUAAGCGUCGGUAAGGUGAUAUGAACCGUUAUAACCGGCGAUUUCCGAAUGGGGAAACCCAGUGUGUUUCGACACACUAUCAUUAACUGAAUCCAUAGGUUAAUGAGGCGAACCGGGGGAACUGAAACAUCUAAGUACCCCGAGGAAAAGAAAUCAACCGAGAUUCCCCCAGUAGCGGCGAGCGAACGGGGAGCAGCCCAGAGCCUGAAUCAGUGUGUGUGUUAGUGGAAGCGUCUGGAAAGGCGCGCGAUACAGGGUGACAGCCCCGUACACAAAAAUGCACAUGCUGUGAGCUCGAUGAGUAGGGCGGGACACGUGGUAUCCUGUCUGAAUAUGGGGGGACCAUCCUCCAAGGCUAAAUACUCCUGACUGACCGAUAGUGAACCAGUACCGUGAGGGAAAGGCGAAAAGAACCCCGGCGAGGGGAGUGAAAAAGAACCUGAAACCGUGUACGUACAAGCAGUGGGAGCACAGAGCAAUCUGUGUGACUGCGUACCUUUUGUAUAAUGGGUCAGCGACUUAUAUUCUGUAGCAAGGUUAACCGAAUAGGGGAGCCGAAGGGAAACCGAGUCUUAACUGGGCGUUAAGUUGCAGGGUAUAGACCCGAAACCCGGUGAUCUAGCCAUGGGCAGGUUGAAGGUUGGGUAACACUAACUGGAGGACCGAACCGACUAAUGUUGAAAAAUUAGCGGAUGACUUGUGGCUGGGGGUGAAAGGCCAAUCAAACCGGGAGAUAGCUGGUUCUCCCCGAAAGCUAUUUAGGUAGCGCCUCGUGAAUUCAUCUCCGGGGGUAGAGCACUGUUUCGGCAAGGGGGUCAUCCCGACUUACCAACCCGAUGCAAACUGCGAAUACCGGAGAAUGUUAUCACGGGAGACACACGGCGGGUGCUAACGUCCGUCGUGAAGAGGGAAACAACCCAGACCGCCAGCUAAGGUCCCAAAGUCAUGGUUAAGUGGGAAACGAUGUGGGAAGGCCCAGACAGCCAGGAUGUUGGCUUAGAAGCAGCCAUCAUUUAAAGAAAGCGUAAUAGCUCACUGGUCGAGUCGGCCUGCGCGGAAGAUGUAACGGGGCUAAACCAUGCACCGAAGCUGCGGCAGCGACGCUGAUGCGUUGUUGGGUA
RNAcentral lists this ribosomal RNA (1200 nucleotides) under Escherichia coli. RNAcentral describes it as "partial 23S ribosomal RNA". It matches the Rfam family "Bacterial large subunit ribosomal RNA", at positions 1 to 1230 of the family's 2925-position model. Lineage: Bacteria; Pseudomonadati; Pseudomonadota; Gammaproteobacteria; Enterobacterales; Enterobacteriaceae. The record is from RNAcentral.